Long non-coding RNA from Canis lupus familiaris (dog), 567 nucleotides. RefSeq lists it as uncharacterized. The record is from RefSeq and is a predicted model, not a curated record. NCBI's taxonomy places the organism in Eukaryota, Metazoa, Chordata, Mammalia, Carnivora, Canidae. The transcript is spliced from 2 exons.
GACGGGGAAGAGGGCGGCCGGCGCCGCCGCACGGCGAGGGGGCUCUGGAGCCGCCCCGAGGACCCCCCGGGAAUCGCCCGGAGGACACACCCCGCACCUGCAGGCGGAGAAGCGGCCACACCGAAGUCGGCGCGCGGAGAACCGGCCCCAGAGCGCCGGGCUGCGGAGGAGCAGGAAACAACUGGCUUUUUCUAACAACGGAGAAGAAGGCGGAGACUCAGACAAAAAUGCAAACACAGAGGAAUUUAUACCAAGAGAAAGGACAAAAUAAGGCCAUGGCCAAAAUAAGAAAAACAGAAGUAAGGAUGUCUGAUAGAAUCUAAAUGAGAAUUUAGAGGAGCACUCGUAAGGAUGCUGUGUGGACUUGAGAUGGCAGUCGAAGGCUUCACGGAGACCAAUGUGGCACAGAUAAGACAGGAUUGUUGAGAGAUAAAAGAGUUGCCAAUAAAUGAGGUUGGAAACAGGAGGGAUGCAAUGAACAACAGGAUGAAAGAAGCAAAGGAACAAAUUAUUGACACAGAAGAUAAAGUAACAGAAGGUAAGCAAACUGAACAAAAAAAAAAAAAA